GACGAACGCUGGCGGCGUGCUUAACACAUGCAAGUCGAACGGAAAGGCCCUGCUUUUGUGGGGUGCUCGAGUGGCGAACGGGUGAGUAACACGUGAGUAACCUGCCCUUGACUUUGGGAUAACUUCAGGAAACUGGGGCUAAUACCGGAUAGGAGCUCCUGCUGCAUGGUGGGGGUUGGAAAGUUUCGGCGGUUGGGGAUGGACUCGCGGCUUAUCAGCUUGUUGGUGGGGUAGUGGCUUACCAAGGCUUUGACGGGUAGCCGGCCUGAGAGGGUGACCGGCCCAUUUUGGGCCUGAGCUCCCGCCCGGCCCCCGCGGGGGGGCGGCGGUGGGGAUUUUUGCCCACUGGGCGGCACCCGUACGCAGCACCCCCGCGUGGGGGAGGCGGGCUUUCGGUUUGUAACCCUCUUUCCCCUGGCACGAAGCGUGCUUGACGUUAAUGGGUAAAGAAGCCCCGGCUAACUCCGUC
Molecule: ribosomal RNA, 469 nt
Filed under: uncultured bacterium
Lineage: Bacteria
Description: partial 16S ribosomal RNA
Rfam family: Bacterial small subunit ribosomal RNA
Source: RNAcentral